Molecule: long non-coding RNA, 696 nt
Organism: Biomphalaria glabrata
Lineage: Eukaryota; Metazoa; Mollusca; Gastropoda; Planorbidae
Exons: 2
Source: RefSeq, a predicted model, not a curated record
AUACUCAGUGGCGUAGCAAAGUACCCGUGGGCCCGGGUUCAAGAAUAUGUUGAUGGGCCCUCCCCAUAUGACGAAUAUUUUGUGUGACAAAGAAAUCCAGUAGUUUGUAUGUAUCGGUACAUUUACUAAAAGUAAAAACUAUUCCAUGAGACAUAAUCAUUUAAAACCACGUUUAUGUACUGUUCUGCACUGUGAACAUAAUGCGUAAGCGGCUGCUAUUGUUGAAACACUACCUGAAGGCUAUUGUACUGUCCGCUUAUAUUGAAAAACCAUAAUUGUUUACAAAACAUUUUUAGAAAAAAAUGCAAAUUUGAUACAUUUUUAAUUCUCUUUGAGUGCUGUCAACCAUGAUAGAGAAAAUGGCACAGAUUGGAUCUCCUUUAGUAUUUCUGCUAAGAUUCCAUCGCACAACAGGUCUAAUAUUUUGAAUCUGUUUGUCGAGAAAGCCAAGCUACUCAGACUAGUCACUCAGACUAGCUUUCUACAAUGGCAAACUGUUUACAAAGAUUUCUUUGAGAGGUAAAUUCCAAGAGCAGACGAUGUAGUCAAGAGCAGACGAUGUAUUCAAGGUCAACGAAUAUGUAGUAAAGAAACCAGACUACUUUGCUUUUCCACAGGCAGUGUCUGGGUUUCCUAAUGAUUAACUGGACUCUGAGACUUUUUAAAAUUGUUAUUUAUUAAAAAAUACAAUGUUAA